AUGCUUUCCUGUGACUCACAUGGCUCUUCCCUCCUUGCUAGUGGCUCCAAGCUCAGGCGAGGAUCAAGGUGGCUACAACAUCACAUGCAGACCCAGCCCUGUCCAGGGCAAGAAGAGCAACCAUCUGUCUUCUCCUUCUGGUGGGUGGGGCUCCCCAUCUGCAGGUUCCCCCUGGGUCCCAGUGGGAGCUGCCCUUCUGCCUUUCAGAGCCCUCAGAACAGCAUCUUGGCGUCUGUCACCGACCGGCGUAGAAAUGGUGCUGGCUUCACCCGAGCUUCAGAUGCAGGUGUGCAGAGCCCCAGGGUUCAGAUCAAAGAGGGAAUCAUCUCUGAGGGCUCAGAUUCCCACCGCUCAGAGCCUCUGCGAACGGCGGAGAUGGUCCUGCCAAGGGAAGCCUGGGAAAGAUGCCCAGGGGUGCCUGGAGGAUGCGCCCCCUCCUCUCCUCUGCCAGUUCUUUCCCCCGUGUCUUUCUGUCCAUCUCUCUCUGGCUCUCUGCUGUGUCAGUCUUGCUCCCCGUUCCCUGCCUAUCCCCCAUCUCACCUCUCUCUCUCAUUUCCUGGCUUUUUCUCUCUCUGUCUCUGCCUGAUUCUCCCUCCCUUCCUUCCUCGUCUCCCCUCCAGCUCCUUCUCCCCCUCUCUGCUCCCUUGCCUUCUUGCUCUUCCCUCUCCGUGGCUGUCUUGCUCUCCGCCUCCCUCUCACCUCCUCUGGAGGAGGAUCUGUGUUGUGGGAUCAUGCCAAGCCCAGAGGGAAGGUCAGGGUACCCUGCAGAGACCAGUACAGACUGCCAUUAACCUGUCACUUCUGCCUACAGCAGGAACUGCAGCCACUGGAGAUGGGGACAUCUCAGCUGGGCUGACAAUGGAGAGCAGAAGCCACCCAGUUCAGAGGGUUGCAGACGUGCUCUGGGGCACCAAGGACAGGUGGAGGGGGUUCCUGAAACCAGCCUUGCAUCACAUCCUGCCCUUGACUUCUGAGCCAGGGGCUGUCUGGGCAGAGGGAGAAUUUCACUAGCGGCCACACUCAAGCCUCCCUUAGCUGCAGUCGUGGGAACUGGGGAUCUCAGUGAGGGCAGAAGCAAAGGUUGCAAAUUCAGCAGACUGAGGGCCAUGCUUCCCCUCCCCUAGGGGCUCUAAAAUAUGAAUCUAGGAGUUCUCGUCGUGGCUCAGUGGUAGUGAAACCGACUAGUAUCCACAAGGAUGUGGGUUUGAUCCCUGGCCUCACUCAAUGGGUUAAGAAUCCGGCAUUGCCAUGAGCUGUGGUGUAGGUCGCAGAUGCCGCUCGGAUCCAGCGUUGCUGUGGCUGUGGGAUAGGCUCCAGCUGCAGCUCCGAUUAGACCCCUAGCCCGGGAACCUCCAUAUGCUGCUACAGGAGUGGCCCUAAAAAGACAUAUAUAUGUGUAUAUAUAUAUACUUAUUUUAAACUAAGUUUCCUCUUGUGGACCUGGCAACACGGGUCUGUGGCUGAGCAGCAGUGCCUCUGGCAGACCACUGCACACUCCCCUGUCCUGCUGUCCCUUCUCCUCAAGCCUGGAUGCCACUGAAGUUGCCUGCCUGCCUGUGUACGCUCAGGAGUGUGCUGCCUCUGACAGCAGAGAGGUUUUCUGGGUGGGAGUAGGGGCCUGAGUGUUACCACCAACUUACUGUGUGACAGAGGGCAAGGCAUGCCAGCUGUCUGAGCCUCAGCCUUCUCAUCUGUGAAAUGGGAGGUUGGACCUUUUGGAGCAUCUACUGAAAGCUACGGACCCUCUCCCUAGAGAAAAGGACCUGGGCAUAGAUUUACCUCUGAUUUCAGAGGCUCAUGGGCCCCUCUCCCUGGGGGCAGGGAUCCCAGGCUAAAAACCCCUGCUGAGUGCUACGGUUCCCUCCCCCUUUGCCUCAGCUGCCCCAGUCAGAGUCCAGAUGGACCCAUCCUCUCAGAUCUGGCCAACCAGGGCCGCUUCUCCUCUGGGUGAGCUGGGACUCUCUGGAUUCCCAGGGCUGCCCCAGCCAGGCUGGCAGCAGCCGCCCAUCGAUAUGCAGGAGGGGUCUGGACUGGCGCUGGAUUAGCAUAACGCACUCCAGGAGGUAAAGGCCCACCAGGCGGCCUCUGUGCGCAGCGCCCGCCUUUGUCCUGGCCCCAGGACUGCGAAGGACGCCCAGGCGGCUCAUCCACUUUUGACUGCCAGAUGAAAGGGGGCGACAUAAAGAGGCUGCCUGGGCCGAGCAUGGGGGUGCUUUGUGUCCCUCCAGACAGAGUUACAGACGUCUGUGAAACGUCAAUUACCGCUGAAUAAAGACGUCUGCUAGGUCCA
This 2290-nucleotide long non-coding RNA is filed under the name Sus scrofa (pig). Its description in RNAcentral is "lncRNA (ENSSSCG00025076153.1)". The record is from RNAcentral. Lineage: Eukaryota; Metazoa; Chordata; Mammalia; Artiodactyla; Suidae.